AGGACGAACGCUGGCGGCAUGCCUAACACAUGCAAGUCGAACGAGACCUUCGGGUCUAGUGGCGCACGGGUGCGUAACGCGUGGGAAUCUGCCCUUAGGUUCGGAAUAACAGUUAGAAAUGACUGCUAAUACCGGAUAAUGACGUAAGUCCAAAGAUUUAUCGCCUAGGGAUGAGCCCGCGUAGGAUUAGCUAGUUGGUGGGGUAAAAGCCCACCAAGGCGACGAUCCUUAGCUGGUCUGAGAGGAUGAUCAGCCACACUGGGACUGAGACACGGCCCAGACUCCUACGGGAGGCAGCAGUGGGGAAUAUUGGGACAAUGGGCGAAAGCCUGAUCCAGCAAUGCCGCGUGAGUGAUGAAGGCCUUAGGGUGUAAAGCUCUUUUACCGGGAUGAUAAUGACAGUACCGGAGAAUAAGCUCCGGCUAACUCCGUGCCAGCAGCCGC
RNAcentral lists this ribosomal RNA (444 nucleotides) under uncultured soil bacterium. RNAcentral's name for it is "bacterial SSU rRNA". It matches the Rfam family "Bacterial small subunit ribosomal RNA", at positions 26 to 518 of the family's 1533-position model. The record is from RNAcentral.